GACGAACGCUGGCGGCGUGCUUAACACAUGCAAGUCGAACGGAAAGGCCCUGCCUUUGUGGGGUGCUCGAGUGGCGAACGGGUGAGUAACACGUGAGUAACCUGCCCUUGACUUUGGGAUAACUUCAGGAAACUGGGGCUAAUACCGGAUAGGAGCUCCUGCUGCAUGGUGGGGGUUGGAAAGUUUCGGCGGUUGGGGAUGGACUCGCGGCUUAUCAGCUUGUUGGUGGGGUAGUGGCUUACCAAGGCUUUGACGGGUAGCCGGCCUGAGAGGGUGACCGGCCACAUUGGGACUGAGAUACGGCCCAGACUCCUACGGGAGGCAGCAGUGGGGAAUAUUGCACAAUAGGGCGGAAGCCUGAUGCAGCAACGCCGCGUGCGGGAUGACGGCCUUCGGGUUGUAAACCGCUUUCGCCUGUGACGAAGCGUGAGUGACGGUAAUGGGUAAAGAAGCACCGGCUAACUACGUG
Molecule: ribosomal RNA, 469 nt
Filed under: uncultured bacterium
Lineage: Bacteria
Description: partial 16S ribosomal RNA
Rfam family: Bacterial small subunit ribosomal RNA
Source: RNAcentral